RNAcentral lists this non-coding RNA (30 nucleotides) under Mus musculus (house mouse). The record is from RNAcentral. Lineage: Eukaryota; Metazoa; Chordata; Mammalia; Rodentia; Muridae.
UGUGUUGAGUAAGUUGCUGGAUAUCCUGAC